CAAACCCUCUGCUCUUUAGAUUUGGCUUGUACAGGAGGGGCUGGACAGGAUUCAAGCAGGGGCUGGAUUAGACACUAGACUAAAUACUGCUUCAGCUGGAGCCGCCUGGAUCCCUUUGACUUAAGAAGUGGGCUGGCAGCAAGGUUCCCGCUAAGGUGCGCGCGUGCGCGGCGGCGGCGCACAACUGAGAGCGCGGGCGCGCGCAGCCUGUUCAAGGCAGCGAGUGCUGCGGCCCCCGCAUCAGGACCGGGCGCGCCAGCCCCCAUCCCUGCCUUAAUUCACCUCGGGGAGGAGCCGCCGCCUGCCCCGAGUGAGGCUCCGCCGGCUCCGGGACACUGCUCCGCUCCGCCGCAUCGCCUCGGGGAGCAAGAAGGCACGUGGCGUGAGGGCCGGGGAGCGGAGCAGUGUCCCGGAGCCGGCGGAGCCUCCCCGAGGUGCGGCGAGGCAGGGAUGGAGGCUGGCGCGGGCUCCGUCGGCUGUAGGAAAGUGCUGUGCUCCCCGGCCCUGAUGUGGGGGAGCGUAGGUCUUCCCCGCAGCCGACGGAGCCCGCGCCAGGCCUCAGCCACCGGCCCCUGGCUCCAGGCCGUGGCCCCAGCUCCAGCCCUGGCCUCCGCCCCUCCGCCCCCUUCGGUAAGUGUCCCACGCCGGACCGAGGCGGCGCGCUCACGGACCGAGGGAGCAUUGGCUGGCAGGGCAUUUUCUAAAGACCCUAAUUCAGCAAAGCAAGUGAAGCAGGAGGUGUUUAAAGUGCUUUACUGAAUUGGAGCUCCAAUGAGAAAAGAAGAUGUAGCUGAGCCCAUUGUCAGCUAACAAGAGUGGAAGAUGAAGGGCCUGAUUUUGGUAAGUUGGUGCCUUUUUAUUUAGCCCUACUUUAUCUCUGAGUGCUAUUUGGAUAAGUUAUUACUUGAAUCCUUUUACUAAAAGUAAUGAGCUACAGUGAUGACCAACCAUUCCAGUAAGUUCUAAGAGUUGCUAUUAUACUUUCUCACUAUGCCAGCAUGAUGACUUAAUUGUAAUGACUUAGAAAAGUAAUUGUUUUAAAAUCCAUGUGUUACAGUUCAUAAAUACCAAGGCUGCAUUCUCCCAAAAUAACAAGUUGGUUUAAGAAAAUAUUACCACUCAUGGGGCUGGUUUGCUUUUCACUCAGGCUGAUUUCACUUAUAUUUAAUUCUGUUCUGAUCCUUCUAAAUAUCUGCUUUUCAUGCAUUAGUUCAGGGGUGGCCAACCUCCAGCACAAGUGCCACAAGUUCAACAGGCAGCCUGUGUGUGGCAGGUGGUAGAUUGGGGAAGGGACAGGCAGCAGGGCUAUAGAUGGGGCAGGGAGCAGAAAGCAGGGUAGCAGGUCAGGCAGGGGACGGGGAUCGGACAGACACAAGAAGGGCUAAUUUGUGGCACUCUUGCCAAAAAGGUUGGCCCCCCACACUAACUGUCCCUCUGCACGCUUUCAUGAGAGCAUAUGCAAACUGGCAGAAUGUGGCUGGGAUCCAGAACUGAAUUGAGGAAGCUGGGACGCUAGAAGCCCAGUGAGAAGAUCUGUUCUGUUGUGUCUGAUACCUUCCUCACUGCCCAGUGUUAGGCAAGGCAGAGUUUCCUUUGCAGAAGUAUUGUUCUAGGUAGGGUCUCCCUACCCAGGUCCUUGGAAUGCUCAAGCCUCAUUGCUUGGAGGUGGGAAGGAUUUCACCCUACUACACAGCCAGUUAGUCUGUGCCAUCCUACCCUACCUUCUGCCUGACUUCAUACUAACAUGGCUAACCACUUCUCUACCCUUGUUGGCUUGUACUGGAUGCUCUGGAUACUUCUUGAAAUAAAGCCUGGGCAGUGGGGGAGAAGGAUUUAAAA
RNAcentral lists this long non-coding RNA (1839 nucleotides) under Crocodylus porosus (Australian saltwater crocodile). RNAcentral describes it as "lncRNA (ENSCPRG00005008542.1)". The record is from RNAcentral. Lineage: Eukaryota; Metazoa; Chordata; Crocodylia; Crocodylidae.